CUGGAGUAGCCUGUGGUUUUUAAGGCUUUCGUGUCUCGUUGCGUUAAACGAUCGCAGAACGAUUUAUUACUCUUUUUCACCUCGAUCUUUGGCCUCUUGUGAUUUAACAAAACCAACAUGUGAAGUUACAACGCUGACGAAGGAGUUUCAUCAGUAGAGUGUGUCCUGGUAAACGUGUGCUCGGAAACAUGCAGAUUACAGUAUUUACAGAGCCGACCUUGAGGCUAUUUUUUUGCAUGACAUCCACUGAUGGAUAAUCUGUUUACCUAAAAACAGCACUUCAGGAGAAACCUGCCUGUGAUCUGCUAAGAUGCACAGAUUCAACUCUGGCCCAUUGUCAUCCCAACCCCUUAUCUGCCAUCAGUUUCGUUUAGUGUCGGUCUAUUUCAAAAGUUCUUAUAAACUUUAAAUGAGACUUUGUGUUAAGCAGGGGUUUCCAAACUUUUCAUUUCACAACAUAUUAAGCCCAGGAUACACAGCAGGAUUUUUGCAAUCCAAUAAGACCUUAUCACACUGUGUGACAAAAAUUGUUUAAACUUCAGCAGUAGACUGUCGAUGAAGACACCUAUUGCAUCUGAGGCUGCGACAUCCGUCAUCAGCAUGCGCUAGUGGUAAACAAAUACAGGUAUGCAGGUCGUAGAAGCAAACACGUUGUUGAUGUGCGUUGAUCAUGCUGAACUUCUUACACUGUCAUAAAACUAUCGUAGGUGUCUUUGGUCCCAGGACUGGUAAAGCAGACGUCUUUAAACCUCUCACACUGUAUGAGAUAGGACCACCAAUUAAGA
Molecule: non-coding RNA, 785 nt
Organism: Misgurnus anguillicaudatus (oriental weatherfish)
Lineage: Eukaryota; Metazoa; Chordata; Actinopteri; Cypriniformes; Cobitidae
Source: RefSeq, a predicted model, not a curated record